This is a non-coding RNA of Durio zibethinus, 3958 nucleotides long. Lineage: Eukaryota; Viridiplantae; Streptophyta; Magnoliopsida; Malvales; Malvaceae. The record is from RefSeq and is a predicted model, not a curated record.
AACACCGGUGGAAAAACCAUUUCUUUUAGUGGAUUCGAAGAAUUGUUCACAAAUCCUUGCGUUUUGCUUCAUGGUAUAAAUUAUCAAACAAUAACUGCCGAAAUGGGUCAAAGAUUGAACCUUAAUAAGAAAACAAUCGCCUAAACAAAAAGAUAAGCAGCUCCCCAACGUCUCAGUUGAAACGAAGCUUUGACCGGUAAAUAUAAAUGGCUGAAUCAUUCCAACCUCAAGACUCUCAACAUCUCAGCAACGCCUGAGCCGUUACUGACACUGACUCUGCCAACUUGCCGCGUUACAUCGCUCUACUUUUAAUGGGCGUAGCCCAACAAAAGGAACCCUAAGCACCACUUUUACUAUAUUUUUUCGCAUUCUCUUCCAUACCCCCAUCACAGCCCCAGUAGGGUCCAGUCUCGGGUCCCCUAAAACCGAUCGUUGUUUUUCCCACCUUCUCUCUUUGCUUUUAAAGUAUCAGCAAUAUUCCCAAUCUCAAAAAAUGGAGUCUCCCCAACCUCAACAGCAACAGCAACAAGGCCCCAGGAAGAGAGGCCGAAAACCAAAGUCAAAGGACGAGAAGGAACAGCAACAGCAGCAACAACAACAACAAAGCGCUGGUAAAAUGAAAGAAGGAAAGAAAGCCCAACAACCAAGCGUUGAUGAAAUGUACACUCAAUGGAAGUCUUUGGUCCCUGUUCUCUAUGACUGGCUUGCUAAUCACAAUCUCGUUUGGCCUUCUCUCUCUUGCCGCUGGGGACCACAGCUUGAGCAAGCUACUUACAAGAAUCGCCAGCGUCUCUACCUCUCUGAACAGACUGAUGGUAGCGUUCCCAAUACUCUUGUGAUUGCAAAUUGUGAAGUUGUCAAACCUAGGGUUGCUGCUGCUGAGCACAUAUCUCAGUUUAAUGAAGAAGCACGCUCUCCCUUUGUAAAGAAGUAUAAGACCAUCAUACAUCCUGGAGAGGUGAACAGAAUCAGGGAACUUCCACAGAACUCUAAGAUUGUGGCCACACACACUGAUAGUCCAGAUGUUCUUAUUUGGGAUGUUGAAGCUCAACCCAACCGUCAUGCUGUUCUCGGAGCAACAUAUUCUCGCCCAGAUCUGAUUUUGACUGGACAUCAAGAUAACGCAGAAUUUGCUCUUGCAGUGUGCCUCACUGAACCCUAUGUGCUCUCUGGAGGGAAGGACAAAUCAGUUGUUUUGUGGAGCAUCCAGGACCACAUAACAACGACAGCUACAGACCCUACCAAAUCUCCAGGAUCUGGUGGAUCGAUCAUCAAACAGAACAAGCCUGGGGAAGGUAAUGAUAAAGCUACUGAUGGUCCUUCUGUAGGUCCUCGUGGUAUCUUCUGUGGGCAUGAGGAUACAGUUGAAGAUGUCGCGUUCUGUCCAUCCAGUGCGCAGGAGUUUUGUAGUGUAGGUGAUGAUUCCUGCCUCAUACUAUGGGAUGCACGAGUUGGCAGUAGCCCCUCUUUCAAGGUUGAAAAGGCACAUAAUGCCGAUCUUCAUUGUGUUGAUUGGAACCCCCACGAUGAUAAUCUUAUCCUGACCGGGUCUGCAGAUAAUACUGUUCGUAUGUUUGAUAGAAGAAAUCUCACUUCUAAUGGAGUUGGAUCACCCAUUUAUAAGUUUGAGGGUCAUAGAGCUGCCGUUCUAUGUGUGCAGUGGUCUCCAGACAAGUCAUCUGUAUUUGGUAGUUCAGCUGAGGACGGGCUCUUAAACAUUUGGGAUUAUGACAAGGUUGGCAAAAAGGUGGAACGUCCUUCAAGAUCUCCUAGUUCUCCUGCAGGACUGUUUUUCCAACAUGCUGGGCACAGGGACAAAGUUGUUGACUUCCAUUGGAAUACAUCAGAUCCAUGGACUGUUGUUAGUGUGUCUGAUGACUGUGAGACCACUGGCGGAGGAGGGACAUUACAGAUAUGGCGCAUGAGCGAUCUCAUCUACAGGCCAGAGGAGGAGGUUUUGGCAGAGCUUGAGAAAUUCAAGUCCCACAUCAUUUCAUGCGCGUCAAAGCCAUGAGAGACAGGAUUGUAAGGAGGCCAGAAUAUUACCUGAUUGACUUGUAACAAAUCGAUGUAGGAGCUCAUCAUGUAGACUAGAUGUUUGCUCGCAAUUGUAGAUUUUCUGAUAUCGAGGCAUUCAGACAGAUUUUUUAAACAUUUAUAUUGUGAGUGUUACACUGAUUAUGAGCAUGUUGAAGACUGUCAUAUAUUCACACAUGGCUUCAACGGGGUACACAUGAUGAUCAAUGAACUGUUAAACAAUGAGCCAUUAAAUUCUACCAUAGGAUCCAAGGGAUUGUGAUUGAAACUUGAAAUAUUGAAUGAAGGGAUUCUUCCAGGUUCUUGCAACUGUCAAAUGUAGUUAAACUUGGUUGUUGGAAACAUUGUGUUUUUAACUUCGGAGUUAUAUCCCAUUAUGUUGUUGCCGGUUGUGGUUUGAAUGUUGAAGAGGUCAGCUGAUUUGAAACAAUGUACUUAUAUUAUCCCUGGAUUGACGGAGGGUUUCAAGACCUUUAAUUGAAACAUUGUUAUUGGUCAUUGGGUAUGACACAACAUCCGAGCCGGUCGCAAGAAUGGUAUCGCUCUAGACAAAUUAUGUAAAACUACGUAGUAGUAUUAAAAUAAGGACAGCAGAGAACGAGGUGGUCGGUUGACUAGAGGUAUCCGAAUGGACGACCAAGUUGUAAGUCGCUGUGAUCUGGUGUUCAUUUGACACCUUCAAAUAGAUAGUAACAGGGUUAUUUAAUCUUGAUUUCUUCUCUGUAUCGACACGUUGAAGUUUGCAUAAAGAUGAUGGAGAGUAAUAGCAACAGCAGAGGCAUGUUAUCAUGGCUGGCCCUUCUUUUCUUUCUAAUAACAGUAUCAAAGACGCUUGUGCCUGGGUCCUAUUCCGUCUCUCUCCGUGCCCUUGCUCCUGGCGAUUUUUACACUGUAAUUCCCCUUCGUUUCUCUCUUUCUUUCGUUGUUCGUUUCCUUUUGGGAAUAUUGUGUCGUCGUCAAUUAACUUUUAUGCCUACAGGGAGAUCUUCAAGUCCAGGUUUCCAAUCUUACUUCUCCGAAGACACAGCUUUCCUAUAACUUCUAUUCCCUUGGUUAUUGUAAGCCUUCCAAAAUUAUAAACACUGUAAGACCUUGAAAGAAUUUCUUCAAGGCGAAGGUUUUCAGAAUUCUAUUUAUACUUUUGAUAUGAGAAAAGAUGAGUCAUGCAAAGUAGCCUGCCGGGUCAAACUUGAUGCUGAAGCUGCCAAGAAUUUCAAGGAGAAAAUUCAUGAUAACCAUCGAGUUAAUGUGAUUUUGGACAAUCUUCCAACACCGGAAGGAGGAAGGAUUUCAUUUAGGGUUUAAGAGAACAUACUAUCCUAGCGGAGAGGAGGUAUAUUUCAUCCAUAACCAUCUAUGCUUCAGAGUCAUAUACCAUCGGAAUCCUCAGAUUGAUUCUGCUCAAAUUGUUGGCUUUGAGGUUGAUCCCUACAGGUGCAGAAACCUGAUUCUCUCAUGUUUCAAUUGCCCUUCUUAAAUUGUUUUCAUUUGUUGCUUUUUUGGGUUUUCAACUUAAGUGGUUCUAGCAUUCAAUGUGGUUGCUUAUGUUUUAAAUAAUUGAACUGCCUAACAAUCAAUACCUUCAUUUCCAAGUUUUCAAAUUAAAGGAAAAUUUCUGCAGUCUUAUGUUUUGUGUCUGCGAACCAUGAGCAACCUGAAACCAUGUCAUAUGAAUGCUUUAUUUGUAUUAUAUAUCUGCAAAUCAUUCUCUUCUUUCAUUUGGCUUUGCUAAUUUUAGUGACCAAUCUACUUGUUACCACUUUCUUGUCUUCUUAAAACCAACAAAAAAAAAAACCCAGUAACAAUCAUGAGUACGAGUGUCCUUGGAACGAGAAAAACCCUUAGUUGUUAACGUGCAAGGUCAAUCAAGCUUUCAUUAUUCCUCUACGUAUUGAAACUGAUGCAGAAGUUGUUUUCAUUA